Molecule: long non-coding RNA, 237 nt
Filed under: Elaeis guineensis (African oil palm)
Lineage: Eukaryota; Viridiplantae; Streptophyta; Magnoliopsida; Arecales; Arecaceae
Description: long non-coding RNA (EGUI_LNC033975)
Source: RNAcentral
UGGUGAUGACUCUAUUGUACGGGAAGGAGAUACUAGUCUAUAAGGAGAUAGUGUCAGUCCUUUGGACAAAUGAGCAGAGGGAGCGGAUAGUGAGGGAUAGUACAGAGCUUUCUCAAGAUGCCAUGGUGGCCGCUGAAAGAUCUUGGAGGGAGAAGGAUAGAUGCGAGGCAGCGGGGAGGCAGAAUUUUUCAAAGACUAUCAAGGAGGUAAGGUAUUAUAUGUGCUGGCAGCUAGGGC